GUACGUACUGGCAUCGUCGGUUUCUCCCUUCUGACGAACCAUGAUGUCAUUUAUUUGGUGUCGUGGGGAAUCAGGACUGUUACUUUGAAAAAAUUAGAGUGUUUAAAGCAGGCUCACGCUUGAAUACAUUAGCAUGGAAUAAUGAAAUAGGACGUUUGAUUCUAUUUUGUUGGUUUCUAGGAUCGACGUAAUGAUUAAUAGGGAUAGUUGGGGGCAUUAGUAUUCAAUUGUCAGAGGUGAAAUUCUUGGAUUUAUUGAAGACUAACUACUGCGAAAGCAUUUGCCAAGGAUGUUUUCAUUAAUCAAGAACGAAAGUUAGGGGAUCGAAGACGAUCAGAUACCGUCGUAGUCUUAACCAUAAACUAUGCCGACUAGGGAUCGGACGAUGUUAAUUUUUUAAUGACUCAUUCGGCGCCUUACG
RNAcentral lists this ribosomal RNA (421 nucleotides) under uncultured Glomeromycotina. RNAcentral describes it as "SSU rRNA". It matches the Rfam family "Eukaryotic small subunit ribosomal RNA", at positions 673 to 1092 of the family's 1831-position model. The record is from RNAcentral. Lineage: Eukaryota; Fungi; Glomeromycota.